UCGUUCACAAAUAUAGUCCCUAGUGUUGACAGUGGGUUACUUGCCAUUAAUUUUUAUACCCCUUCCAAAUUUAUUUCUCCAUGUUUAAUGUCUCAAAUUGCAAGUAGGGGGGUGAAAUUACACUGUAAAGAAAUUUGGGUCCAGAAUUGUAAAGGAAAGUAGUGAUUUGGUCCAGCUGAAAAAGGUUUAAAAUUAGCACUUCGGAAGCUGUCAGAAGAUUUCAAGACGCCCUAAACAUAAAAUUGUCCAUAUUUUGAGUUAGAGCCGAUGAAGAUUUCUAUAAUUUUGAUAUAAUUUGUCCCAAAAGUAGUACAACACACUGUCAAA
RNAcentral lists this long non-coding RNA (327 nucleotides) under Mytilus galloprovincialis (Mediterranean mussel). Lineage: Eukaryota; Metazoa; Mollusca; Bivalvia; Mytilida; Mytilidae. The record is from RNAcentral.